RNAcentral lists this unclassified non-coding RNA (387 nucleotides) under soil metagenome. RNAcentral describes it as "partial contains 5.8S ribosomal RNA, internal transcribed spacer 2, and large subunit ribosomal RNA". The stretch from base 1 to 120 matches the Rfam family "5.8S ribosomal RNA", at positions 35 to 154 of the family's 154-position model. The record is from RNAcentral.
GAUGAAGAACGUAGUGAAAUGCGAUAAGUAAUGUGAAUUGCAGAAUUCAGUGAAUCAUCGAAUCUUUGAACGCAUCUUGCGCUCCUUGGUAUUCUGAGGAGCAUGCCUGUUUGAGUGUCAUUAAAUUCUCAACCUUUUCAGCUUUCUUUGUUGAUCAGGCUUGGAUGUGGGAGUAUGCGGGCUUCUCAGAAGUCGGCUCUCCUGAAAUGCAUUAGCGGGACCUUUGUUGCCUGGCUUUGGUGUGAUAAUUAUCUACGCCAUUGUAGUCAAGCAGCUUAAAAUGAGGUUUCAGCUUCUAACCGUCUCCCCUGAGACAACUUUUUGACAAUUUGACCUCAAAUCAGGUAGGACUACCCGCUGAACUUAAGCAUAUCAAUAAGCGGAGGA